UACAAGCUUCCGGGUAUUAUUGGUGCUUUUAUAUCCGAACAAAGAGCGCUACAUUAUUGCCGAACCCUUCAAAACUGUUGACAUGCAAAGGCCUUCGUUUAGAUUCUUAUGGCGUUUUAGACCUCGAGGUACUUGCUGGCGGUGUGCACGUCCUUGUCUCCUCGUCCGCUGCAGUUCACCACCACCCUCACACCGUCGGGCAGGGUCGGGCAGAGCUUCUCGAGGUAGGCGAGGGCAUGGGAGGUCUCCAGGGCGGGGAUGAUGCCCUCCAGACGAGA
Molecule: long non-coding RNA, 278 nt
Filed under: Setaria italica (foxtail millet)
Lineage: Eukaryota; Viridiplantae; Streptophyta; Magnoliopsida; Poales; Poaceae
Description: long non-coding RNA (SITA_LNC004359)
Source: RNAcentral